This 481-nucleotide small RNA is filed under the name Pongo abelii (Sumatran orangutan). Its description in RNAcentral is "processed transcript". Lineage: Eukaryota; Metazoa; Chordata; Mammalia; Primates; Hominidae. The record is from RNAcentral.
UUCACUGAGAUCUUCCCAACCAUCUCUUUAGAAUUGGGGUUAUUUAGAGCCGAUUGAGAACACCUUAGGAGUAUGUCUAUGGAAAACAUCUGUUUACGUUGAAGUUUUAAAAAUGCCUACCCCAGGAGGGAAGGAACACCAUUAUUACCUGUCUUUGGAAUGUUGGAAAGGAAUGUUCAGUGUGGCCAAACUCAGGCUCUGAAUUGGUUUUGUCUGAAGAUGAAAAAAGUGACAAUGAAGAUAAGGAAGAGACGGAAUUGGGCGUCAUGGAGGAUCAGCGUAGUAUAAUUCUUCAUCUCAUUUCACAACUCAAACUUGGAAUGGAUUUGACCAAGGUGGUGCUUCCCACCUUUAUCCUGGAGAAGCGAUCUUUGCUGGAGAUGUAUGCAGAUUUUAUGGCGCACCCAGACCUACUGCUGGCCAUCACCGCUGGGGCCACACCAGAGGAGAGAGUCAUUUGCUUCGUGGAGUAUUAUCUCAC